This 768-nucleotide ribosomal RNA is filed under the name uncultured bacterium. RNAcentral describes it as "bacterial SSU rRNA". It matches the Rfam family "Bacterial small subunit ribosomal RNA", at positions 8 to 796 of the family's 1533-position model. The record is from RNAcentral.
AGAGUUUGAUCAUGGCUCAGAUUGAACGCUGGCGGCAGGCCUAACACAUGCAAGUCGAGCGGUAGAGAGAAGCUUGCUUCUCUUGAGAGCGGCGGACGGGUGAGUAAUGCCUAGGAAUCUGCCUGGUAGUGGGGGAUAACGUCCGGAAACGGACGCUAAUACCGCAUACAUCCUACGGGAGAAAGCAGGGGACCUUCGGGCCUUGCGCUAUCAGAUGAGCCUAGGUCGGAUUAGCUAGUUGGUGGGGUAAUGGCUCACCAAGGCGACGAUCCGUAACUGGUCUGAGAGGAUGAUCAGUCACACUGGAACUGAGACACGGUCCAGACUCCUACGGGAGGCAGCAGUGGGGAAUAUUGGACAAUGGGCGCAAGCCUGAUCCAGCCAUGCCGCGUGAGUGAUGAAGGCCUUAGGGUUGUAAAGCUCUUUUGUCCGGGAAGAUAAUGACUGUACCGGAAGAAUAAGCCCCGGCUAACUUCGUGCCAGCAGCCGCGGUAAUACGAAGGGGGCUAGCGUUGUUCGGAAUCACUGGGCGUAAAGCGCACGUAGGCGGACUUUUAAGUCAGAGGUGAAAGCCUGGAGCUCAACUCCAGAACUGCCUUUGAUACUGGGAGUCUCGAGUUCGGAAGAGGUUGGUGGAACUGCGAGUGUAGAGGUGAAAUUCGUAGAUAUUCGCAAGAACACCAGUGGCGAAGGCGGCCAACUGGUCCGAUACUGACGCUGAGGUGCGAAAGCGUGGAGAGCAAACAGGAUUAGAUACCCUGGUAGUCC